UAAAGCGAAUAAGGGCGUAUGGCGGAUGCCUUGGCAUUGAGAGGCGAUGAAGGACGUGGUAAGCUGCGAUAAGCUUCGGGUAGGUGCAUACAACCGUUAAUCCGAAGAUUUCCGAAUGGGACAACCCACUAUGUUGAAGACAUAGUACUCGAAAGAGAGCCAACCUGGAGAACUGAAACAUCUAAGUACCCAGAGGAAAAGAAAAUAAUCUAAUGAUUCCCCAAGUAGUGGCGAGCGAACAGGGAAGAGCCUAAACUUAAGGAGCGUGCUCCUUGAGGGUUGUAGGACCUCAUUUAGAAACCAAUCUCAAAUUGAACCAUCUGGAAAGUUGGACCAUAGCAGGUGAUAGUCCUGUAGAUAGAAAUGAUUGGGGACGAGAGGUAUCCUGAGUAGCGCGGGACCGGAGAAAUCCUGCGUGAAUCUGCCAGCACCAUCUGGUAAGGCUAAAUACUCCUCAAUGACCGAUAGUGAACCAGUACCGUAAGGGAAAGGUGAAAA
This 498-nucleotide ribosomal RNA is filed under the name Chitinophagaceae bacterium. RNAcentral's name for it is "partial 23S ribosomal RNA". It matches the Rfam family "Bacterial large subunit ribosomal RNA", at positions 1 to 520 of the family's 2925-position model. The record is from RNAcentral. Lineage: Bacteria; Pseudomonadati; Bacteroidota; Chitinophagia; Chitinophagales; Chitinophagaceae.